GCCCGCCUAGCUCAAUCGGAUAGAGCGUCAGACUCUUACCGUUCAUUCGACGGUGUGCUGUUCGACAGGCGGGUGUGAUCUGAAGGCUGCGAGUUCGACCCUCGCGGUGGGCU
Molecule: transfer RNA, 113 nt
Rfam family: tRNA
About the family: Transfer RNA (tRNA) molecules are approximately 80 nucleotides in length. Their secondary structure includes four short double-helical elements and three loops (D, anti-codon, and T loops). Further hydrogen bonds mediate the characteristic L-shaped molecular structure. tRNAs have two regions of fundamental functional importance: the anti-codon, which is responsible for specific mRNA codon recognition, and the 3' end, to which the tRNAs corresponding amino acid is attached (by aminoacyl-tRNA synthetases). tRNAs cope with the degeneracy of the genetic code in two manners: having more than one tRNA (with a specific anti-codon) for a particular amino acid; and 'wobble' base-pairing, i.e. permitting non-standard base-pairing at the 3rd anti-codon position.
Source: Rfam